ACGAACGCUGGCGGCGUGCUUAACACAUGCAAGUCGAACGGAAAGGCCCUGCUUUUGUGGGGUGCUCGCGUGGCGAACGGGUGAGUAACACGUGAGUAACCUGCCCUUGACUUUGGGAUAACUUCAGGAAACUGGGGCUAAUACCGGAUAGGAGCUCCUGCUGCAUGGUGGGGGUUGGAAAGUUUCGGCGGUUGGGGAUGGACUCGCGGCUUAUCAGCUUGUUGGUGGGGUAGUGGCUUACCAAGGCUUUGACGGGUAGCCGGCCUGAGAGGGUGACCGGGCACAUUGGGACUGAGAUACGGCCCAGACUCCUACGGGAGGCAGCAGUGGGGAAUAUUGCACAAUGGGCGGAAGCCUGAUGCAGCAACGCCGCGUGCGGGAUGACGGCCUUCGGGUUGUAAACCGCUUUCGCCUGUGACGAAGCGUGAGUGACGGUAAUGGGUAAAGAAGCACCGGCUAACUACGUG
This 467-nucleotide ribosomal RNA is filed under the name uncultured bacterium. RNAcentral's name for it is "partial 16S ribosomal RNA". It matches the Rfam family "Bacterial small subunit ribosomal RNA", at positions 29 to 507 of the family's 1533-position model. The record is from RNAcentral.